GUUAAGUGACUAAGCGUAUACGGUGGAUGCCUAGGCAGUUAGAGGCGAUGAAGGACGUGUAAGUCUGCGAAAAGCUGUGGUGAGCCGACAAAAUGCAUUUGAGCCACAGAUGUCCGAAUGGGGAAACCCACCUGUUUACAGGUAUCGUUACAUGAAUACAUAGUGUAACGAGGCGAACGAGGGGAACUGAAACAUCUAAGUACCCGGAGGAAAGGAAAUCAAUAGAUACUCCCCUAGUAGCGGCGAGCGAACGGGGACCAGCCGAGCUGUGAGUGUGAAUAGAAUGGUCUGGAAUGGCCAACCAUAGUGGGUGACAGUCCCGUAUAAUAAGCAUGAUCAGACGUAUUAAGUAGGGCGGAACACGUGAAAUUCUGUCUGAAGAUCGGAGGACCACCUUCGAAGGCUAAGUACUCCUUACUGACCGAUAGUGAACCAGUACCGUGAGGGAAAG
RNAcentral lists this ribosomal RNA (451 nucleotides) under Pseudopedinella elastica. RNAcentral's name for it is "partial Bacterial large subunit ribosomal RNA". It matches the Rfam family "Bacterial large subunit ribosomal RNA", at positions 1 to 513 of the family's 2925-position model. Lineage: Eukaryota; Dictyochophyceae; Pedinellales. The record is from RNAcentral.